AUUGAACGCUGGCGGCAGGCCUAACACAUGCAAGUCGAACGGUAACAGGAAGAAGCUUGCUUCUUUGCUGACGAGUGGCGGACGGGUGAGUAAUGUCUGGGAAACUGCCUGAUGGAGGGGGAUAACUACUGGAAACGGUAGCUAAUACCGCAUAACGUCGCAAGACCAAAGAGGGGGACCUUCGGGCCUCUUGCCAUCGGAUGUUCCCAGAUGGGAUUAGCUAGUAGGUGGGGUAACGGCUCACCUAGGCAACGAUCCCUAGCUGGUCUGAGAGGAUGACCAGCCACACUGGAACUGAGACACGGUCCAGACUCCUACGGGAGGCAGCAGUGGGGAAUAUUGCACAAUGGGCGCAAGCCUGAUGCAGCCAUGCCGCGUGUAUGAAGAAGGCCUUCGGGUUGUAAAGUACUUUCAGCGGGGAGGAAGGGAGUAAAGUUAAUACCUUUGCUCAUUGACGUUACCCGCAGAAGAAGCACCGGCUAACUCCGUG
RNAcentral lists this ribosomal RNA (490 nucleotides) under uncultured bacterium. RNAcentral describes it as "partial 16S ribosomal RNA". It matches the Rfam family "Bacterial small subunit ribosomal RNA", at positions 30 to 507 of the family's 1533-position model. The record is from RNAcentral.